This 77-nucleotide transfer RNA is filed under the name Patescibacteria group bacterium. Its description in RNAcentral is "tRNA-Val". It matches the Rfam family "tRNA". From Rfam's summary of the family: Transfer RNA (tRNA) molecules are approximately 80 nucleotides in length. Their secondary structure includes four short double-helical elements and three loops (D, anti-codon, and T loops). The record is from RNAcentral.
GGACGAUUAGCUCAAUUGGCGAGAGCAUCUGCCUUACAAGCAGGGGGUUACUGGUUCAAGUCCAGUAUCGUCCACCA